GUGGAGGCAGUUAGAUAGGCGCGGGGCAGGAUCCUUGAAUAAAAUGGGGGGAAGGAUGGACGAGGACUGGAGCCGACAGACAAUUUGGGGAGAGGAAGAACUAGAUAGCAAUUACGGGUUGUAGAUGGGCGGGCCAGAUCAUAAGGAACAGCUGUCGUUUAUCUGUUAAAAAAUGAAGUAAAAAAAGAAAAAGGAAAAAAUAGAAAUUAAGAAAUUUGAAUUCAUUUUCUUAGGUCAAUUACUGUAAAAGUCUUUACAAUAGAUUCUUGAACUAUUUGUGUGGUGGAUCUCUGACAAUCUGGAGAAGUCCUCUCUCAGCAUUGUAUUUUCAAAUGAGGAAACAAGAAGCUUAAGUUAUGAUUUGACUAAAUCCACAUGGCAAACAGAUAAUUCAAAUCCAGGACUUCUGACUCCUUUAGUUCCAAAGCCUUCAAGGGGAAAAGGAAGGAAAGAGCAAAAAGGCCAAAGUUUGUGCUGUAGCAGUUCGUACACAGGAAGUUAAAUAAGAAUGAUAACAAUGUAUGUAGUCAUUGUCCAAACAUACAGCUUUUAUUUUUCAUCAUUUGAAGGCCUACUCCCAAAAUGUGAGAUUGGAUGGAACCCAAAGUAAUAAAUGAUUGCAUGCUGUA
Molecule: long non-coding RNA, 629 nt
Organism: Sarcophilus harrisii (Tasmanian devil)
Lineage: Eukaryota; Metazoa; Chordata; Mammalia; Dasyuromorphia; Dasyuridae
Exons: 2
Source: RefSeq, a predicted model, not a curated record